AGGCGCGGAACAUCCACAAUGCACGAAAGUGUGAUGGGGGGAUCCCAAGUGCUCAUGCUUUGCAUGGGCUUUUGCCAUGAGUAAAGAUCAUGGCGAAUAAGUGGUGGGUAAGACUGGUGCCAGCCGCCGCGGUAACACCAGCGCCACAAGUGGCAAUCACAGUUAUUGGGCCUAAAGCGUCCGUAGCCGGUUCAGUAAAUCUUUUGUGAAAUUGCCAAGCUCAACUUGGCAGCGUGCAGAAGACACUGCUGGACUUGAGACCGGGAGGAGCUGAAGGUAUUCUUGGGGGAGCGGUAAAAUGUUAUAAUCCCGAGAGGACCACCUAUGGCGAAGGCAUUCAGCUAGAACGGAUCUGACGGUGAGGGACGAAAGCCAGGGGAGCAAAACGGAUUA
This 393-nucleotide ribosomal RNA is filed under the name Enterococcus faecium. Its description in RNAcentral is "bacterial SSU rRNA". It matches the Rfam family "Archaeal small subunit ribosomal RNA", at positions 337 to 731 of the family's 1478-position model. Lineage: Bacteria; Bacillati; Bacillota; Bacilli; Lactobacillales; Enterococcaceae. The record is from RNAcentral.